GCGGUCGUGGUGGAACGGCAGACACGCUAUCUUGAGGGGGUAGUGUCCCAUGGACGUGCGGGUUCAAAUCCCGCCGACCGCA
Transfer RNA from Paenibacillus sp. FSL H7-0331, 82 nucleotides. It matches the Rfam family "tRNA". Rfam says of the family: Transfer RNA (tRNA) molecules are approximately 80 nucleotides in length. The record is from Rfam. NCBI's taxonomy places the organism in Bacteria, Bacillati, Bacillota, Bacilli, Caryophanales, Paenibacillaceae.